This 477-nucleotide ribosomal RNA is filed under the name Triticum aestivum (bread wheat). RNAcentral describes it as "partial small subunit ribosomal RNA". Lineage: Eukaryota; Viridiplantae; Streptophyta; Magnoliopsida; Poales; Poaceae. The record is from RNAcentral.
AUGUAUGUGAUGAACUCUUUGUUUGGAAGUUGUGCAUAUUUGGUAGCUAAGGGCAACUCCAACGUGAAUCGCCAAAUCCCCCGUAAAUGUCUGGACCAGACAGUCUGGAUAUUUUUUGCCAUCCCACACAUCAAAAUUGUCUGGACCUAUCCGAAUGUUCAAAAUCCUACAAAUUGGCACCAAAUGAGGGAGAGGUUUCUCCAACUCCUUCCUUCUUCAUGUGAUGUGUAUUUGCACCCUCGGCGACCACCGCCGCCGCUACACAACCCCGACCGCCACGCGGGCCUUAUCGGACCUUCGUCGCACAAUGCAAGCGCUUUCCUGCCUUGGAUUGCACCGCCGUUCUACCCUGGAUUCCAUCGCAGCAUAGGUAACCUCCGCUCCCUGCCGACAUCGUCCAUAGCAAACACUACGCCUGGCAAGUGCUCGGCCAAAUGCCAUUGCCAAGAAAUCUUAUGUUCUAGUUGUUUACUUUGA